Tachyglossus aculeatus (Australian echidna) is the source of this 138-nucleotide small nucleolar RNA. The record is from RefSeq and is a predicted model, not a curated record. Lineage: Eukaryota; Metazoa; Chordata; Mammalia; Monotremata; Tachyglossidae.
AACCUCUCAGGGUCACACCUGGGGAGUUUCUAGUACUCUACCGGUCUCGACUGUGGGAGGGAGAGUAAAGCAGAGGCCUACCCAUUCCAUUCCUAGCUUGGGCAGUGGCUAGCAAAUGGGAGGAAAUCUGCUACGAGU